GUAGGGGGCAAGCGUUGUCCGGAUUUAUUGGGCGUAAAGAGCUCGUAGGUGGUUCGGUAAGUCAGGUGUGAAACCUCCAGGCUCAACCUGGAGACGCCACUUGAUACUGCUGUGACUGGAGUCCGGUAGGGGAGCGUGGAAUUCCUGGUGUAGCGGUGAAAUGCGCAGAUAUCAGGAGGAACACCAGCGGCGAAGGCGGCGCUCUGGGCCGGUACUGACACUGAGGAGCGAAAGCGUGGGUAGCAAACAGGAUUAGAUACCCUGGUAGUCCACGCCGUAAACGUUGGGCACUAGGUGUGGGUCUCAACCAACGGGAUCUGUGCCGUAGCUAACGCAUUAAGUGCCCCGCCUGGGGAGUACGGCCGCAAGGCUA
Molecule: ribosomal RNA, 373 nt
Filed under: uncultured bacterium
Lineage: Bacteria
Description: bacterial SSU rRNA
Rfam family: Bacterial small subunit ribosomal RNA
Source: RNAcentral